CGCGUGAGGAACCUGCCUUUCAGAGGGGGACAACAGCUGGAAACGGCUGCUAAUACCGCAUAACAUAUAGGUAUCGCAUGGUGCCUAUAUCAAAGAUUUAUCGCUGAAAGAUGGCCUCGCGUCUGAUUAGCUAGUUGGUAGGGUAACGGCAUACCAAGGCGACGAUCAGUAGCCGGACUGAGAGGUUGGCCGGCCACAUUGGGACUGAGAUACGGCCCAGACUCCUACGGAAGGCAGCAG
Molecule: ribosomal RNA, 240 nt
Filed under: uncultured bacterium
Lineage: Bacteria
Description: partial 16S ribosomal RNA
Rfam family: Bacterial small subunit ribosomal RNA
Source: RNAcentral